This is a long non-coding RNA of Oncorhynchus masou masou (cherry salmon), 854 nucleotides long. RefSeq lists it as uncharacterized. Lineage: Eukaryota; Metazoa; Chordata; Actinopteri; Salmoniformes; Salmonidae. The transcript is spliced from 2 exons. The record is from RefSeq and is a predicted model, not a curated record.
AAAAACAUGUUUCCCCAUGUGGCUGCACUCAUCAUCCAGAGACCAUCCUGUAUUUCAGCCCCUUUCAGAUGUCCCAACUGUUCUUUCUUCAAGAAAAAGGCUUUGUCACGGAGGUGCAUAUUCAUACAUUGGUUCCAGGACAGAGAAGUGGUUGGACUGUUCUCCAUAUGCCAUGCGACCUCUGCUGAUAAACGGGAAAAGGGGGAGGGGAUAUUGGGGGCUGCCUUGACAACCGCUCUCCUUUCUGCAACUGCGCGAUUCUGAUUAGCUGGAAAUGUAGUAGUGUGCACGGCUGUGUAUUAUAAAGAACCCACUGCUACUACAAGGUCUACUUCUUUCCAAAGGUUCCAUUUGUUUUAGUGUGCCAAGCUGAAAGGAACUCGUUUGGACCCACAUUCUGCUGUCAAUGCAUGGUUUCUUCAUGUUUUUUAUUUAUUUUCAUACUUAAACACAAACCUCUUAAAGCACAUAUUUAUACAAAACCUAGAACCAACCAUUUAUUUCCAGUUUAAAUGCAGCUAGCAUUUUGAUUUGGAACCUGUUCAAGAAAAGGGUUCCCUUGAAAAUGAUAAUUUCCCUCAGCGGAUUCUUCAGUACUGUACCUCAUAUAUUUGUUAUUAUAUUUAUUAUUACAUGUAUUAAAGUAUAGCUAAUUCAAUGUACAAUGUUUUUAGUAGGCUUUGCAUCCUUUAUGCAGAUCUAAAGUAUAUGCUGCAUGUUACAUCCACGAUAGUAAUGCAUUUGGAGCUGCAUAGCUUUUUUUAAAUCAUUCAUGUAACCAAAUGUCAUCCUACGGGUGGCAAAGGGGUAAUGCCACAUUUAUUCAACCACCAAAUUAAAAAUGAAUAAUAUCC